Molecule: long non-coding RNA, 303 nt
Filed under: Prunus persica (peach)
Lineage: Eukaryota; Viridiplantae; Streptophyta; Magnoliopsida; Rosales; Rosaceae
Description: long non-coding RNA (PPER_LNC001100)
Source: RNAcentral
ACAAACGUGGCCUAUAUAUUUUUACUUCUUGAUCGUAUGUGACGUCUUAUAUCAGACAUAUGAGGGAUGAUUUAUGGAAAUAUGAGUCAUAGAGACACAAUGUUUCCCUAUUCAUGCUCUAUAGGCAACCUAAAAACACGGUUUCAGUAUGUGUGCUCUAUUAGGCAAGAUAAACAGACACACUCACAAGAAUCCAGUUUCGUGCUCUUUAUAGGCCGCAAAAAUGUCAAAUGUAUCCAAUACAUUGAUUGUUCCAUGAUGAAGCACCCUAUUUUAUAUGGAUAAUGGCAAAGAACAUUGUGG